Molecule: non-coding RNA, 2278 nt
Organism: Camellia sinensis
Lineage: Eukaryota; Viridiplantae; Streptophyta; Magnoliopsida; Ericales; Theaceae
Source: RefSeq, a predicted model, not a curated record
CACUAGUAUAUAUAAAUCUCUACAUCUAUGAUUUGCAAUAUUGAUCAGAUCAUCUCUCUCAAUUCUCUUAUCAUUUUCUACAUCACAAUCUUCAAUCAAUGGAAGAUUUCAUCAUCGAUUCAUUGAAGAAGAAUCUUGAUUCCACUAAGCCACCCCUCAUUGUCACUCGAGAAAACCAGGUUACAAAUCAGAUUCACUUCUCUUAUGAGUUCUCUCUGACCUGGUAUCGAAAACCCUAGCCUCAAGGAGAUUACUUAGAGCUUCAUAGGAAGAGACAUGGCUAUCACCAUGAUCACUUCGAGCACAAAGGCAAGAAAGAGGCUCGUGAGGUUCACAAGCGAUCUCAGAUUGCUCAAAAGGUUCAGUAUGAGAACCCUCUUUUUGUUGUUCUGUUUAAUUAUUUAUUGUUUUGUUUUGUCUUUGUUUUUGUAGUCAAGCUAUUAAAAAAAUCUGAUCUCAGCUUUCUUGGUCCGUAUGCUGCUGCACAGGGGGUGCAACAAGAGCAAAUUAUUUUCACAGAUGUUGCCAUGAAAAAAGAACAUAUUAGACAGAGUUCUUUGGCAGAUCUAUUCCUUGACAUGUAUUUUAACAAUACCUGUUUGCCAAAUUGUAGAUUGUUUAACUUGUGGUUGCGCUCAAGUAGUUUAUUUCUUUAGUGUUGGGGAUAUAACAAGCACCAUUUGUUUAUACUGAAUCAUGGUGACCUCUCUCUCUCUCUCUCUCUCUCAAUUUGUUUUUCGAGCUGUAACAUGAAUAUAUGUGUAUACACAGUACAUACAUGCGAUUGAUUUAUAGUCAUGUUCAUCGAUUUGUUAGGGUUUUAUUUAGUCCCUCUGAUAUGCUUCGAUCCGAACAGAGAAAUUCGUUUUACUUUGUUUUUUUGUAGCCUGCAAAGCCAGGACUCCAAUCUCAAAGUUCAUUUUAAGGUAUUAUGAUCUCAAUUCUGUUGCCUUUGCAUUUUAAAUUUUUCUGUGUAUGUAUUGAUAUAUUUAAUCAUGAAUGAAUUAUCAUAUAUGGAGUCUUCAAAUUUGUUCUGUUAGUUUUGUAUUAUGAAUCUGAAAAAUAUAUGCAAAUGAAGUUAUAAAACUUGUCAAAGUUCUCAAGUAAUAUGUUAUUUGCUUUUGAUAUAGAGAACUAUAAAAGUGAAGUUACGGAGUGCUUUUUGUAAAAUUUGUUCUAUUUUUGUAUAAGCACACUAAUUUGCGUUUCCUACUUUCAAAUUCAUACAUUACCGUGAAAGUAAGUGUCCCACUAUCUCAAAAAUGUGUUCUUUAAGUGAUCUCACUAUUUUAUUUUUAAUUUUUUAAUUUAUAUGAUGAGGUUGGAUAGCUUCCUCUUGGAUAGUUUCCUUUUCGAUUUUACAAACCAAAGUUCAGCUAUAUCUUCUGUGAUAUGGAUGGCACACUGCUGAACAGUCAAAGCUAAAUUUCUUCAACUAUUGCAAAAGCUUUGAGAGAGGCCUUGUCAAGGGGUGUCAAAAUGGUGAUAGCCGCUGGUAAAUUAAGGACAUAUGCGAUUUACCCUAUUUUUUUCACAUUGUUAUGUUUUUCAUUCUGUUAGAUAUUGUUUCUUGGUUGAUACAUAUUCUUUUUAUCAAUUGGCUAAUUUAGUUUUUGGGAAUAGACUAGUCCAACUGUCAUAAGUGCUUUAAAGAUGGUAAACUUAGCAGGAAAAGAUGGCAUUAUUUCAGAGUUUUCCCCAGGAGUCUUCGUAUAGGUCUUUCUCUUCCUCUUUAUUCUAUUCAUAUUUUGCUUGUUUGAUGUAGGAUAAAUAAUGUAUGUACUAAAGGUUCCAUAGGUUGCUUUAUGAAGCCUUUAUGCAUUGAAGGUUCUAUAAGUUUUUCAGAUGAGAACAACAAAACAUUGUAGAAUCACAAAGAAAUUAAGAGGGAAGGGGAGGUUAAGAAUGAGAGAGACACACCUUGGAGUCAUACAUGCUGAAUAAAAGCUAUUGGACUACAAUUGAAGAUGCAUUUCUCAAUAGGAUACGCUUACAACACUACUCAGGCCUAAAGCCUCAACAAAAUCCUUGAUGCAAACUCAUUUGAAAAACGUAUUCAGGCCAUAGAUGACAGAGAAAUCUUUUUUAAUAUUUAGAUCAGUUAACUUGCUAAAAUGGUUUGAGCAAGUGCUGUUGGUAACCUCUACUGUAAAUCCUUUUAAUUUUUCUUUUAAUUUUUGUUAAAUUUAUUUUUUCUAUACUCAUUAUGUUUUGUAAAAUAGAGUACCUAUGGUGUGUAAUGACAAAUUUAAUUUUUGUGAAUUUGUAGUUAUGAAAG